CUCAUUAAAAGAGUGCGUAAUAGCUCACUGGUCGAGUGACCCUGCGCCGAAAAUUCAACGGGGCUAAACAAUGUACCGAAGCUUGGGAUUCUAGAUUUAUCUAGAGUGGUAGGAGAGCGUCGAAUAAGGGGUGAAGUCAGAGCGGAAGCGCUGGUGGACUUUAUUCGAGUGAGAAUGCCGGAAUGAGUAGCGAGAAUUAUGUGAGAAUCAUAAUGGCCGAAAAUCUAAGGUUUCCUGAGGAAGGUUCGUCCGCUCAGGGUAAGCCGGGGGCUAAGGCGAGGCGGAGACGCGUAGCCGAUGCACAUACGGUUGAAAUUCCGUAGCCACCGAAAGAUUUAAGUACAGGGACGCUUUAGAAGUGAUGUAGCCGGGCGAUGGUUGACCCGGUCGUAAGGGAUCGAAAAUGAGUAGAGAAGUCAUCAUGGAAAGAGACAAGAAAAGCUGUAUGAAUAUCUUAGGUGCCCGUACCGCAAACCGACACAGGUAGAUAGGAAGAAGAUUCUAAGGCCAACGGGAGAAGGGUUGUUAAGGAACUCGGCAAGUUGACCCCGUAACUUAGGGAUAAGGGGUGCUCAAGUGAUUGAGCCGCAGAGAAUAGGCCCAGGCGACUGUUUAGCAAAAACACAGGUCUCUGCUAAAUCGAAAGAUGACGUAUAGGGGCUGACACCUGCCCGGUGCCGGAAGGUUAAGAGGAGAUGUGAGAGCAUUGAAUUGAAGCCCCGGUAAACGGCGGCCGUAACUAUAACGGUCCUAAGGUAGCGAAAUUCCUUGUCAGGUAAGUUCUGACCCGCACGAAAGGUGUAACGAUCUGGGCACUGUCUCAACAACCCGCCCGGCGAAAUUGUAGUACCGGUGAAGAUGCCGGUUACCCGCGACUAGACGGAAAGACCCCAUGGAGCUUUACUGUAGCCUAAUAUUGGAUUUCGGUAUUUCACGUACAGGAUAGGUGGGAGACUGGGAAGCACAGGCGUCAGCUUGUGUGGAGUCGACCUUGGGAUACCACUCUUGGAGUGCUGGAAUUCUAACCUGCGGCUUUGAAGCAAGUCGGGGGACAUUGUUAGGUGGGCAGUUUGACUGGGGCGGUCGCCUCCUAAAGAGUAACGGAGGCGCUCAAAGGUUCGCUCUGCAUGGAUGGAAACCAUGCGUCAGAGUGUAAACGCAAAAGCGAGCCUAACUGCGAGAAUGACGGUUCGAGCAGUAACGAAAGUUGGAGUUAGUGAUCCGGCGGUAUGUGAAUGGAAAUGCC
This 1246-nucleotide ribosomal RNA is filed under the name human gut metagenome. RNAcentral describes it as "bacterial LSU rRNA". It matches the Rfam family "Bacterial large subunit ribosomal RNA", at positions 1118 to 2443 of the family's 2925-position model. The record is from RNAcentral.